RNAcentral lists this ribosomal RNA (253 nucleotides) under uncultured prokaryote. RNAcentral's name for it is "partial 16S ribosomal RNA". It matches the Rfam family "Bacterial small subunit ribosomal RNA", at positions 524 to 776 of the family's 1533-position model. The record is from RNAcentral.
UACGUAUGGUGCAAGCGUUAUCCGGAUUUACUGGGUGUAAAGGGAGCGCAGGCGGUACGGCAAGUCUGAUGUGAAAGCCCGGGGCUCAACCCCGGUACUGCAUUGGAAACUGUCGAACUAGAGUGUCGGAGGGGUAAGCGGAAUUCCUAGUGUAGCGGUGAAAUGCGUAGAUAUUAGGAGGAACACCAGUGGCGAAGGCGGCUUACUGGACGAUAACUGACGCUGAGGCUCGAAAGCGUGGGGAGCAAACAGG